This is a long non-coding RNA of Oncorhynchus tshawytscha (Chinook salmon), 690 nucleotides long. RefSeq lists it as uncharacterized. The transcript is spliced from 3 exons. The record is from RefSeq and is a predicted model, not a curated record. NCBI's taxonomy places the organism in Eukaryota, Metazoa, Chordata, Actinopteri, Salmoniformes, Salmonidae.
UUGAGUUCAUUCGCUUUGUUAUUUUUGUUAUUUCAGUGUUCAGUUCAUAUAAAGUAUGAACACGUACCACAGUGCGUUUUGGUCGCCAUCUUCCAACAGCCAUUACACAGUAUCUGGUGUGACCACCAUUUGCCUCAUGCAGCGAAACACAUCUCCUUCACAUGGAGUUCAUCAGGCUGUUGAUUGUGGCGUGUGGAAUGUCCUCUUCAAUGGCCGUGCGAAGUUGCUGAAUAUUGACGGGAACUGGAAAACAUUGCCGUACACGUCGAUCCAGAGCAUCCCAAACGUGCUCAAUGGACUCGAGACCACAGCAGCGAUCCUGCUCUUGCCCUACCUCUUCUAUGAGAACCAGAGUGGCCUUUAUGUCCGUGACAAGUGCACAUCGACUGAAAUCCAUUUCACCAUGAGAGUGAAUUCCUGCUGGCCUUUGAUUGGGAGAACAUCCAUGCCCUAGAGGACGUCCCCAUGGGACUUGUGGCUCUGCUAGGGCUGUAUUCUUUAUUUUCAGUUCAAUUUCCCCAAAAUGUCAGAAAAACACUGAUGUUCUUAUGUUACUGUGUUCUGGGGAUAAGAGAAGUUGGGGUGAAGUUACCAGGGACGGUAAUGAAGAUGGCACACUUCCUAACAUAACUAAGUGGUUGUUGGACACACACACACUAAAGCUAAAAUAAAUCUGUAUUUAGCAUCAAG